This 257-nucleotide ribosomal RNA is filed under the name uncultured bacterium. RNAcentral describes it as "partial 16S ribosomal RNA". It matches the Rfam family "Bacterial small subunit ribosomal RNA", at positions 96 to 354 of the family's 1533-position model. The record is from RNAcentral.
UGGCGAACGGGUGAGUAAUACAUCGGAACGUGUCCGCUCGUGGGGGACAACCAGCCGAAAGGUUGGCUAAUACCGCAUGAGUUCUACGGAAGAAANAGGGGGACCCGCAAGGGCCUCUCGCGAGCGGAGCGGCCGAUGACUGAUUAGCCGGUUGGUGAGGUAACGGCUCACCAAAGCAACGAUCAGUAGCUGGUCUGAGAGGACGACCAGCCACACUGGGACUGAGACACGGCCCAGACUCCUACGGGAGGCAGCAG